This 101-nucleotide microRNA precursor is filed under the name Marmota monax (woodchuck). Lineage: Eukaryota; Metazoa; Chordata; Mammalia; Rodentia; Sciuridae. The record is from RNAcentral.
AUAUAAAUCAUCUGGGGAUUGUGCUAAAAUCAAAUUCUGAUUCAGCACAUCUGGGGUAGCCUGAGAAUCUGCAUUUUCAACAAGUUCCCCAUGACAAUGAU